ACAAGCGGUGGAUGAUGUGGAUUAAUCGAUGCAACGCGAAGAACCUUACACCCUUGACAUGUCCGGAACUUGCCAGAGAUGGCUUGGUGCCCGAAAGGGAAUCGGAACACAGGUGCUGCAUGGCUGUCGUCAGCUCGUGUCGUGAGAUGUUGGGUUAAGUCCCGCAACGAGCGCAACCCUUAUCAUUAGUUGCUACGCAAGGGCACUCUAAUGAGACUGCCGGUGACAAACCGGAGGAAGGUGGGGAUGACGUCAAGUCCUCAUGGCCCUUAUGGGUAGGGCUUCACACGUCAUACAAUGGUCGGUACAGAGGGUUGCCAAGCCGCGAGGCGGAGCCAAUCCCACAAAGCCGAUCGUAGUCCGGAUUGUUCUCUGCAACUCGAGAGCAUGAAGUCGGAAUCGCUAGUAAUCGCAGGUCAGCAUACUGCGGUGAAUACGUUCCCGGGUCUU
This 450-nucleotide ribosomal RNA is filed under the name uncultured Thiobacillus sp. RNAcentral's name for it is "bacterial SSU rRNA". It matches the Rfam family "Bacterial small subunit ribosomal RNA", at positions 925 to 1382 of the family's 1533-position model. Lineage: Bacteria; Pseudomonadati; Pseudomonadota; Betaproteobacteria; Nitrosomonadales; Thiobacillaceae. The record is from RNAcentral.